Molecule: ribosomal RNA, 409 nt
Filed under: uncultured bacterium
Lineage: Bacteria
Description: bacterial SSU rRNA
Rfam family: Bacterial small subunit ribosomal RNA
Source: RNAcentral
UGGGGAAUAUUGCACAAUGGGCGAAAGCCUGAUGCAGCGACGCCGCGUGAGGGAUGACGGCCUUCGGGUUGUAAACCUCUUUCGCACGGGACGAAGCGAGAGUGACGGUACCGUGAGAAGAAGCACCGGCUAACUACGUGCCAGCAGCCGCGGUAAUACGUAGGGUGCGAGCGUUGUCCGGAAUUAUUGGGCGUAAAGAGCUCGUAGGCGGUUUGUCGCGUCUAUCGUGAAAACUGGAGGCUUAACCUUCAGCGUGCGGUGGAUACGGGCAGACUUGAGUUCGGUAGGGGAGACUGGAAUUCCUGGUGUAGCGGUGAAAUGCGCAGAUAUCAGGAGGAACACCGGUGGCGAAGGCGGGUCUCUGGGCCGAUACUGACGCUGAGGAGCGAAAGCGUGGGGAGCGAACAGG